GAUGAACGCUGACAGAAUGCUUAACACAUGCAAGUCUACUUGGACUUCGGUUUGGGUGGCGGACGGGUGAGUAACGCGUAAAGAACUUGCCUCACAGAUAGGGACAACAUUUGGAAACGAAUGCUAAUACCUGAUAUUAUGAUUUUAGGGCAUCCUAGGAUUAUGAAAGCUAUAUGCGCUGUGAGAGAGCUUUGCGUCCCAUUAGCUAGUUGGAGAGGUAACGGCUCACCAAGGCGAUGAUGGGUAGCCGGCCUGAGAGGGUGAUCGGCCACAAGGGGACUGAGACACGGCCCUUACUCCUACGGGAGGCAGCAGUGGGGAAUAUUGGACAAUGGACCAGGAGUCUGAUCCAGCAAUUCUGUGUGCACGAUGAAGUUUUUCGGAAUGUAAAGUGCUUUCAGUUGGGAAGAAAAAAAUGACGGUACCAACAGAAGAAGUGACGGCUAAAUACGUGCCAGCAGCCGCGGUAAUACGUAUGUCACAAGCGUUAUCCGGAUUUAUUGGGCGUAAAGCGCGUCUAGGUGGUUAUGUAAGUCUGAUGUGAAAAUGCAGGGCUCAACUCUGUAUUGCGUUGGAAACUGUGUAACUAGAGUACUGGAGAGGUAAGCGGAACUACAAGUGUAGAGGUGAAAUUCCGUAGAUAUUUGUAGGAAUGCCGAUGGGGGAAGCCAGCUUACUGGACAGAUACUGACGCUGAAUCGCGAAACCGUGGGUUGCAAACAAG
This 724-nucleotide ribosomal RNA is filed under the name uncultured Fusobacterium sp. RNAcentral describes it as "bacterial SSU rRNA". It matches the Rfam family "Bacterial small subunit ribosomal RNA", at positions 28 to 776 of the family's 1533-position model. Lineage: Bacteria; Fusobacteriati; Fusobacteriota; Fusobacteriia; Fusobacteriales; Fusobacteriaceae. The record is from RNAcentral.